GGUGGCUCAGUGGUAGAGCACUUGCCUUACAUGCGAGGCCCUGGGUUCGAUUCCCCAGUACCA
This 63-nucleotide transfer RNA is filed under the name Dipodomys ordii (Ord's kangaroo rat). It matches the Rfam family "tRNA". Rfam says of the family: Transfer RNA (tRNA) molecules are approximately 80 nucleotides in length. Their secondary structure includes four short double-helical elements and three loops (D, anti-codon, and T loops). The record is from Rfam by way of RNAcentral. Lineage: Eukaryota; Metazoa; Chordata; Mammalia; Rodentia; Heteromyidae.